CAACGUCACUACGACGGCAGCCGACCGC
RNAcentral lists this non-coding RNA (28 nucleotides) under Bombyx mori (domestic silkworm). Lineage: Eukaryota; Metazoa; Arthropoda; Insecta; Lepidoptera; Bombycidae. The record is from RNAcentral.